UAGAACAAAAUGUGUUGUAACCAUUAAUUGCUUCUCAUCAGGUAAUUGCAGGCUGAAGGUUCAUACUGCAUCUAAUCUGCAAUUUAUAGACAAGAUCAACAUGAACUUCUUGGCGCUGAAAAUAUUUCUGAGUAAAGAGCAAGUAACAAGAUGCAUAAAGGAUGCGUUUGUGUCUGCAGACUUUGUGUCUCUCUCUGAAGUAUCUAAGGGAACUUUGACUUUAUCAGAAUUAUUCUACAGUUUUGUAUAGCAGGUGAAAAUUUCACAGGUGCAAAUGCUGAUGCCUUUUUUGGCUUUAUUUUUUUCUUUUUUUACAUUUUGUUUAAAGUUUUCAUAACCUUUGAGCCUCGAAGCAUUUUUCUAAUCUACAAAUCGUGUGUGCCAAUGGGGCCGAGUCCAUGGGGAGCAGCGCAGGUGUUUUGCCCAGAGGGUGGAGCUGAAAACCCACCAGCUGCUUAUAAAAAGCUUUUUGGUAGCUGUAGUUAGUUGUGUGGGGGAUUUUGCAGUCUGAGCGCUUGCUUCUGCUUGCAGUAUUUGGCUACUCUGGUGGGAGUUCUGUAGAGCGUUGUCUGGAUUUGAACCUCACAUUUGUAGUAGACUUGACUCAUUGGGAAAAUGUUCCUUGGAGGGGAGACAGGUGGAAAAUACCUUUUGAGUAGUGUAGCCUCAGGAAAAUGGUUGGUCUUGGGAACUCUUGCAUUCUGUGUUGUGUGUGUCUCACCAGCGUGUCACCUGGAAGUCAAGAAGGGGGAGAUCUGUACUGCAGGGCUUGGACUUGUCACCCAGACAUACCCUGAAUUGUGGCACCAGAACAUGACAACUACAAACCUUUUAAGAUCCACGGAUUAGCCGAGUUUAAGAACUUCAGGAGCUAUGAAAUUCUGGGAUUACUGAAAUGUUGAGAUUAAUUAUCACAAUCAGGUACAUCAGGAAUUAUAAGUAUGUGCUUAAUCAGUACACUGUGGUUAUUUAUUGCAACCAAUGUAUCAUAAUUACUACACAGGCAUUGGAAUUAAGGGGGGUACUGAUAGUUGUUGAUUUCUGUCACGACCCACUGACAAUACAUCCUUCACGGAUUUUUCAGCUACUGUUUUGAUUUGCGUUUAACUGUACCUCCUGCCCCUUGCUGUGGGGAAGCCUGAGAACUCUGUAUGGCAUUUCUCCCCCCUGCCCCCCCUCGCCCUUUCUGUG
Long non-coding RNA from Columba livia (rock pigeon), 1191 nucleotides. RefSeq lists it as uncharacterized. The record is from RefSeq and is a predicted model, not a curated record. Lineage: Eukaryota; Metazoa; Chordata; Aves; Columbiformes; Columbidae. The transcript has 3 exons.